UACGUAGGGGGCUAGCGUUGUCCGGAAUCAUUGGGCGUAAAGCGCGUGUAGGCGGUCCGGUAAGUCCGCUGUGAAAGUCGGGGGCUCAACCCUCGGAUGCCGGUGGAUACUGUCGGGCUUGAGUACGGAAGAGGCGAGUGGAAUUCCUGGUGUAGCAGUGAAAUGCGUAGAUAUCAGGAGGAACACCGAUGGCGAAGGCAGGUCUCUGGGCUGACACUGACGCUCAUGCACGAAAGCGUGGGGAGCAAACAGG
RNAcentral lists this ribosomal RNA (253 nucleotides) under uncultured bacterium. Its description in RNAcentral is "partial 16S ribosomal RNA". It matches the Rfam family "Bacterial small subunit ribosomal RNA", at positions 524 to 776 of the family's 1533-position model. The record is from RNAcentral.